UUUUGUGGGGUGCUCGAGUGGCGAACGGGUGAGUAACACGUGAGUAACCUGCCCUUGACUUCGGGAUAACUUCAGGAAACUGGGGCUAAUACCGGAUAGGAAUCCUUGCUGCAUGGUGGGGGUUGGAAAGCUUCGGCGGUUUUGGAUGGACUCGCGGCUUAUCAGCUUGUUGGUGGGGUAGUGGCUUACCAAGGCUUUGACGGGUAGCCGGCCUGAGAGGGCGACCGGCCACAUUGGGACUGAGAUACGGUCCAG
RNAcentral lists this ribosomal RNA (255 nucleotides) under uncultured Actinomycetales bacterium. RNAcentral describes it as "partial 16S ribosomal RNA". It matches the Rfam family "Bacterial small subunit ribosomal RNA", at positions 78 to 334 of the family's 1533-position model. Lineage: Bacteria; Bacillati; Actinomycetota; Actinomycetes; Actinomycetales. The record is from RNAcentral.